Molecule: unclassified non-coding RNA, 705 nt
Filed under: Hevea brasiliensis (rubber tree)
Lineage: Eukaryota; Viridiplantae; Streptophyta; Magnoliopsida; Malpighiales; Euphorbiaceae
Source: RNAcentral
UGAUGUUUACAGCUUUGGGGUUGUCCUUCUUGAACUAACAACUGGGAAGGAGGCUCAUUUAGGGGAUGAAAAUAGAAGCCUAGCAGAAUGGGCAUGCAAUCACAUGGUUGAAGACAGACCUAUAGUCGAUGCUUUGGAUAAGGAGAUCAUGGGAUCUUCUUGCUUGGAUGAAAUGAUCACCGUUUUCAAACUUGGGGUUAAGUGUACGAGCAAACUGCCUUUUGAUAGGCCUUCCAUGAGAGAGGUCUUACAAAUCUUAGUUCAAUGCAGUCGUCCGCUUGUUUAUGGAGUGAAGAAUACGGGUAUUGAACUCAAGCAAGGACGUGCGUCAGACAGUGAUGAUAAUGUCUGAGCUCUCUCUGUUGGCACACUUGCAGUAUUAUUGAGAUUUAGCUCAAUGAUGCUAGAGUCGUCCCCAAAGCUAUGAAGUCUCAAGUUCAAGUUCCAAUGGCAUCCAAUUGUAAAAAAGAAAGCCCCAAUUUGAAGUUUUCCGCAGCAAUAGGUUAUAGAAUAUUUUUAGGCAACCAAAUAUUAGCUAGAGCGUCAGAUAACCGGUAAACUUUAAGAAAAUAAGCAGAUCUUGCACAACUGUGUGCAACUCAGCAGCCUUCGUGCACUUGUACUUUCUGAGACUUCCACAAUCCAAGCAAGCAUAGAUGGCAUUGUAAAGAGUUCAUUACACUAUAUUUUGCACUCAUCUACUUU